RNAcentral lists this small RNA (2629 nucleotides) under Pan troglodytes (chimpanzee). Its description in RNAcentral is "processed transcript". Lineage: Eukaryota; Metazoa; Chordata; Mammalia; Primates; Hominidae. The record is from RNAcentral.
CUGAUUACCACUGAUGCUGAGGAUCUUUUCACACGUUUCACGGCCACUUGGAUUUCUUCUGAGGAAAUUAUCACUGUUUCAGGAGGAGAGUUACUUCAGGAACCCUGCGGACAGAGGGACAGCCCACCAGACUACCAUCUGUUGUUUGAAUAAUUUUUUUCCUUAUCAAUUGGAUUCAUUUUGGUAUCCUGUUUUUGAACUCAGCUUAAGAACUUCUCAUCUCAAAUCCUAUGGCCUUCUGGAAGAUCCACCACUAUCCAAAGGAAAAAGUAGAUUAAUAUGUCUCAAGGGAUAUGACAUCUAUGGCAUAGGGCUACUGGUCUCAUCCCAGCAAUCAGGACAGAAAUUGCUAAUAGCUCAUGCAACUCUUUCAUGAAGAGCUUAGCUAUGACCUUAGAAGACAAAGCCUGUUUGUCAUGGCUUCUGUAAACCGAGCUCUUACAGUGCGUGGACCAUGUUUUAAUAAUCCAAAAUAAUUCCAGUGCCGAACCCUGAAUUUAACAUAUGGUAGACAUUCAGUAAAUGUUUGUUGAAUGAAUGCAUGUCUUCUAAAAGUUUUCCAACACAAAUUAGCAGUGGUUUCUUGUAAAUUAUUUCCUACUCGCCACUCUAUAAAAUCAUGGCAAUAAUAGAAGAUUAUGAAGGAUUUCUAUGGAGGACAUAAAUGCUGCAUCUUUCAUAAUCUCCAUUAUUACCCUCAUUGAUAUUAUCAUUGGAAUUAUCUAAGGUGAGCCCCAGUUUCCAGAGCAGCUGAUUGACACUGUCCUGCCUUCCUUAUUUAACCUCUUCUUUUGCCACUCGCCUUUAUCUUUGAAUCAUAUUUUGGCCUUGGUUUUGCAAUGGUUUUAUGUAAUCCUACAGAUGUCUUCAAGACCUGGGGUGAGUUAUAAAUGCAAGAAUGGUUUUUAGAAAUCUGAUGAGGCCUCUGCUCUCUGGGAUGUGGCCCUCUCUAUGCAGGUUGCUCCAAUGAUUAGCUCUGUCCUCAUUGUCCUUUUAAUUCCCUUGUCAACUUAAUCUCAGUAUGUUGCUUAUAUUAACAAGAAGAGUCACCCAAUAACUCCUCGAUAACUCUCAGUGAUGGUAUCUGUUGGUGCAUACUUGUGUUCCACAGUUAUGGCCAUAUACACAGAGGUAGUAUAUGAUGAAGAGAAGAUUACAGUCUUUACAGUCAAGAAGACUUGGGUUCAUAUCCUCACCCUGGAACUUACUAGCAUUAUAAUGCUUGCAGCAUUGUGUUUGGUGAGAGGAAAAGAAUGAAUGGAUUCUAGGAAUGUUAGGGAACGAUUUACUUUACCUGAUGGCUGUAUCAAACAUCUAUGCCCCACUUCUUCUCUUGCCUCACCUAUUCCUUAGAUUCUUGGUCACUUCUCUACCACAAGCCACCAGCACUAUAACCAGUUUUGCGUGGGUUCUGCUCUUCCUCCCUAUGUUGAUCAGUGUCAUGUGAGCAUAAGCCAAUGGUAGCUUGCCACAUGCCCCAUCUCCCGUUGCUGCAGAGGCAUAAGACAGAAGAGAUGGGAAGUGAAUGCCCCAUGUGGUGAAUCUGGGAUGAAUGGGAGUCCUAGGCUGGUAGAUCGUUUUUCCUCCUUCUUCCUCCUGGAGGAAGGAGUCUUCCUCUGAGAGUCAUCUGUUUGUAUGGUCUUUUAGAAGACAGUCCUGUAAGAUCGAGCAACCAGUCAUGAUGAAACCAAGUGGUGGCCGGAUCAGUAUGACACCCUGCUGCCCCCGUUUUUAAUUCUUCUCUGCCUUGCCCUGCUCUCUCCUGUUGCUCUGGGAUUGCACUUCUGAAUGAAGUAGCAGCUCAUAAGCUUUUGCCACAGGCUCUGUCUUUUGGGGAAUCCAGGAUAAGAACCCAUCAUACAGAAGUGUUCAAUAAUAUCAAUUUUGCAACUCACUCAGCUCCAUGGCUUCCCCCGGUCUGCCUGUCUCGCUACAUGCAUAGUGAAAUGAUGGAAGGAAUCUGCUUUCUGAACUCUAAUGUGCCUUCAUUGAUUAUCAUUAAAAUUAUCAUUAAAAUUGCCUUAUUUCUAUGGACUCAGAGGAAUGAUGUUUUAGUUUUGGCUCUCUGAUUUACCAACUAUGUGACUUUGUCCAAGUCAUUUAACUUCAGUAAACCUCGGUAUGACUGAAAAGGGAGUUUUCUGUAUGGCUGUCACUAGGUUUUUUUGUGGGUUAGUUAAAUGAUAAACAUGAAAGCUCUGUCCAAAUGAAAAAGGUAUUUCUAACAACAACCACAAUAACAAUAACAACUUAGUGCUUAGCCCAUGAUGUAUCAGGGGAUAUGAUGUGAUGAUUUUCAAGGUGUUGGAGGAAACUUCUGUUCCAAGAACUCCCAGCAGCUUUGAAAGCAGACUGAGAUGGGUUGAGACCCUGAAUCCCUGGGCUGUUGUUCCUGUCACCCCUAAUUAAUAUGUGAGAGACAACAGCUGGGUUUUCCAUCCCUAACACAUUUAUUUCAUUUUAUUUGGGGCCUGCAAUUUCUGCAUGUCUCAUAUAUUUUAGGUUUUACCUUUUUACCUGGCUUUAAAAUAAAUCCCUUGUAAGUUGUCCUGCAAAUGAAAUUACUGUCUGGAAAACUGCAAUUUCAUCUUGAGAGUUUUAUUAUGCUAAUAAAUGUCAGGAUUCUCAU